AAGUCGUAACAAGGUUUCCGUAGGUGAACCUGCGGAAGGAUCAUUACCAAUUUAAUCCAAAUCUCAACCCAUGUGAACGAUGAAUGUUUGUCCUUGGGGUGACGGUCUGCUUUCCUUUGGAAAUAGUCUAGUCACCCCAAAAUUGUUAACAAAAUCCUUUGUAUUUUAUCAUGGCAUCUGUCUUACUUAAAAUAACAGUAUGACAACUUUUAACGGUGGAUCUCUUGGCUCGUG
Molecule: unclassified non-coding RNA, 234 nt
Filed under: fungal sp.
Lineage: Eukaryota; Fungi
Description: partial internal transcribed spacer region
Rfam family: Eukaryotic small subunit ribosomal RNA (bases 1-46)
Source: RNAcentral